Molecule: long non-coding RNA, 378 nt
Organism: Ostrinia nubilalis (European corn borer)
Lineage: Eukaryota; Metazoa; Arthropoda; Insecta; Lepidoptera; Crambidae
Exons: 2
Source: RefSeq, a predicted model, not a curated record
UGGAUCUCACAACUUUUUACCGUAGAACAACUGAGUUGCGAGACUUGGUUUUUUUGACAAGUAUUGUUUUUGAUGGGAUCUCAUUUCUUUUUGUAUUUUGUAGACAGCAGUUAUGUAUCUAAAAAACUGGACCGAAAUUGAAAAAUUUUACUCGACUUGGCGGUUGCACUACCGUGCCCCCAAAUCUCAUUUCUUUUUGUAUUUUGUAGACAGGUAGAUCCGCCGAUUUUAUUCCGCGGGAUUUAUUUUACGUUUUUUGAAAAACUUAACAGGGAUGCGUGCAAACUAGCUUAAACUGAAAGGUUAAGCAAUAAGCUUUUUAGAUCAGUGUGAGGCCCUUAGAUUCAAUCGUGAUUUUAGAAGUAACAAGCGUCCAAA